GCCAGGCAUUGUGAUGGGCGCCUGUAGUCCCAGCUACUCGGGAGGCUGAGGCAAGAGAAUCGCCUAAGCCCAAGAGCUGGAGGUUGCUGUGACACCAUGGUGCUCUAUUGAGGGCCACAAAGUAAGACUAUGUUUCUUUUUUUUUCUUAAAAAAAAUUUUUUUUUAAAGACAGAAUCUCACUUUGUCACCCUGGAUAGAAUGCCAUGGCGUCACAGCUUACAGCAACCUCCAGCUCUUGGGCAUAGGUGAUUCUCUUGC
Molecule: small RNA, 259 nt
Filed under: Otolemur garnettii (small-eared galago)
Lineage: Eukaryota; Metazoa; Chordata; Mammalia; Primates; Galagidae
Description: Metazoan signal recognition particle RNA (ENSOGAG00000028788.1)
Source: RNAcentral